AUGCUUGCUAAUUACACUUUUAAAGACAGAGUACCUAAAAAACUUGGAGAUCCCAGAAUCCCCACUAUACCCUGCUCCAUCAAAAGAAAUUAUGUGAAAACUGUUGUAUGUGAUUUAGGAGCUGGUGUUAGUGUUAUGCCUUUCUCUUUAUAUAAAAGAUUUGAUUUGAAUAAACUCACACCUAUUGAAAUAUCUUUGCAAAUGGCUGAUAAAUCAACUACCAUACCUAUCGGUAUUUGUGAGGAUGUGCCCGUUGUUGUUGCUAAUGUUACUAUCUUUACUGACUUUGUUAUACUAGAGAUGCCCAAGGAUGACAACAUGUCAAUUAUCCUUGAUAGACCCUUUUAG
RNAcentral lists this ribosomal RNA (348 nucleotides) under Triticum aestivum (bread wheat). RNAcentral's name for it is "partial small subunit ribosomal RNA". Lineage: Eukaryota; Viridiplantae; Streptophyta; Magnoliopsida; Poales; Poaceae. The record is from RNAcentral.